Molecule: long non-coding RNA, 673 nt
Organism: Ficedula albicollis (Collared flycatcher)
Lineage: Eukaryota; Metazoa; Chordata; Aves; Passeriformes; Muscicapidae
Exons: 3
Source: RefSeq, a predicted model, not a curated record
AUUGUGUUUUACCUGCAAAAGAUUGUAAAUUUUGAGUUUGGUUUUUAUUCUUAAUAGCAUUGUAGUAUUGCAAAUUUUUUGUUAGAUAAUAGUUGAAGGAAAAUUCUCCAGUUUUGGUCAAAAAUCCAGAGACAAAGAAAAUUGAAAGGCUUUUCGAAUUUAUUACUUGGGGAAAGGGUUUUGCUUGUGUCUCCACAGAGAGAGGACUGAGAUGGGUGCCAGUGAGAUACGUGAGGCCAUGUCGGGUCCAGGCACGGGCGGAUGCCAGCCCUGAAGUGGAAAGUGACCUGUUGUGUUCGUAGAAGCUUUGGAAUCCCACAGGAGAAGGAUCACUGAGCCCCAUGGCAGCGUGCCAAGUACAACUUGUACUGAAACACAGUGCUGAGAAGUUGCAUUAUCAACUGAAGCGCAAUGUCAGCUUAGCAGGAGGCAUAUUAUUUGCAGAGUUGGAAAUUUCACAAAAUGCUAAAGGAAGAAGAUGAUGAUAGACAUUUUUAAAGAGCAAAGCAGCAGAGCAACUGCAGCUGGAGGAUUACAAAAUUUGUCAUUUAAAUUCAAGAACACCAAGCGCAAUAAGGAAAUGAUCAUAUGGAACACCGAAAUUGCAAAAAAUGAUUCACUUUAUUGUUUUGGAUCUAUUGUGAAGUUUUUAGCAGGCCACAUAGUCUGCAGA